This 245-nucleotide ribosomal RNA is filed under the name uncultured bacterium. Its description in RNAcentral is "partial 16S ribosomal RNA". It matches the Rfam family "Bacterial small subunit ribosomal RNA", at positions 528 to 772 of the family's 1533-position model. The record is from RNAcentral.
UAGGGGGCAAGCGUUAUCCGGAUUUACUGGGUGUAAAGGGAGCGCAGGCGGCCGUACAAGUCUGAUGUGAAAACCCGGGGCUCAACCGCGGGAGUGCAUUGGAAACUGUAAGGCUGGAGUGCCGGAGAGGUAAGCGGAAUUCCUAGUGUAGCGGUGAAAUGCGUAGAUAUUAGGAGGAACACCAGUGGCGAAGGCGGCUUACUGGACGGUGACUGACGCUGAGGCUCGAAAGCGUGGGGAGCAAA